GACUACUUAAACAAACAAAACCAGAUCACCACCUGUAACAACACCAAACAAACAAAACCAAGAACUAGGAAAAUGAGGAAAAAAUAUCUGACUGAAUGAAAAUUAUUACCUGAAGCAAUACAGAAGGAGUACUUAAUGUUCAAAUAAAGUCAUUGACCAAAGUAUGGAACAGAAAAUAUAAAUGCAUAUUUUUAAAGCAAACAUUUCAUCUCCUAAAGACAAGAUAAGACAUGGAAUGAGAAGGAGAAAUAAAUUAAUCCCACCAUCCAACAGUGAAAGAAAAAACACAGAACAUGAGGAGGACCAGAAAGCAAUGUGAAAAAGAGUUGAAAGGAGUCACUGCUGAGCUAUUUUAGAUUCUACACCCUCUAUCCAGCCAUGAACCUAUCAGCGAUCAUGCCUAACUAUUGCAUACCCCAUUAGACAACCUAAUGUGAAUGUAGGAAGCCUAUUCAUCUAAAGGACAUGGAACCGAGUAGAUGUAACUGAUACUUCACUAUUGACCUAUAGCCUAUUAAGAUCUACCAUGAGUCAUAUACAUUUGACACCGUGGUUUUCAUUUCAUAAUACAUAUCUUCACUAAUUUUGUCUAUCAUUUUGUCAAAGGGCUAAAACUAUAGUAAUGAGUACAUUCUUAAUGAGUUUUUCUUUAACUACCACAAUUUGUAUCUAAAUUUUGUCUCAUCUUAUGUUCUAAAAUUGUCACAGCAAAGUGAUCAAGGAAGCUAGAGAUUUUACAUAUGUUCUUCUCAAUAAGAUGGCUGUAUCUCUUCUAUAUCAAGUAAAUAAAUCCUUGAUACAUGAAUGAAGUAAUGGUUCAGUAAACAAAUUAAAUAUGAUACGACUUUAAAAAAAAAAAAAAAAAAAAAAAAAAAAAAAAAAAAAAAAAAAAAAAAAAAAAAAAAAAAAAAAAAAA
Molecule: long non-coding RNA, 916 nt
Filed under: Homo sapiens (human)
Lineage: Eukaryota; Metazoa; Chordata; Mammalia; Primates; Hominidae
Description: long independently transcribed non-coding RNA 2353 (LINC02353)
Source: RNAcentral